UACGUAGGGUGCGAGCGUUGUCCGGAAUUAUUGGGCGUAAAGAGCUUGUAGGCGGUUUGUUGCGUCUGCUGUGAAAAUCCGGGGCUCAACUCCGGACUUGCAGUGGGUACGGGCAGGCUAGAGUGUGGUAGGGGAGACUGGAAUUCCUGGUGUAGCGGUGGAAUGCGCAGAUAUCAGGAGGAACACCGAUGGCGAAGGCAGGUCUCUGGGCUGACACUGACGCUGAAGCGCGAAAGCUAGGGGAGCGAACGGG
RNAcentral lists this ribosomal RNA (253 nucleotides) under uncultured bacterium. Its description in RNAcentral is "partial 16S ribosomal RNA". It matches the Rfam family "Bacterial small subunit ribosomal RNA", at positions 524 to 776 of the family's 1533-position model. The record is from RNAcentral.